Molecule: long non-coding RNA, 696 nt
Filed under: Setaria viridis
Lineage: Eukaryota; Viridiplantae; Streptophyta; Magnoliopsida; Poales; Poaceae
Description: long non-coding RNA (SVIR_LNC003539)
Source: RNAcentral
GGUAGUUAUCCUAGUAGUAGCUGUAGGGUAGUUUAGUAACUAGUCCGAGACUAUAAAUAGGGAUGGGGGGCUGGUUGUUUCAACAUCUCUCUAAGAACCUCUUCUAUCUAGGGUUGUAGUAGUUCAUUAGCCUCAUAUCUCUAUCUAGUUUAUCUCUCUAGAGGUCCCCAGAUGUUUUGAGCACCGAAUCCAUGUAUUGGACCAAAUUUUGUUGUGGGAAUGGAGGCCCUAACCUUCUCGUGUCCUCCGUGUGUUGGGGGAUGAUGACUUUGUGCGAUUCCCAUUUGUGUUCUUCGCGUUCUUAUUUCUUCCCUACCUCCUUCCUUCACGUUUUUGUUGGAUUCAUGUUUUUUGGGGAGGUUUUGAGUCAAACCGGUCAUUUGGAUAUGAACUAGGACAUGAGUUGAACCUCUCCACCGAAGGGAUUUGAUUGAAACCUCACGAGUUCAUAGAUCAGGGCGAUUCAAUUUUCGGAGUGUGAAAAGGUGUAUUCUUCACAAGAUUUGGAAUUCCCAUUUUUUGACAAAUCUUUGAGGGAUGAUUUCUUAGGAUUAGCUUCUCUACUAUCUUUUGAUACUAUGGUUCAAAUUUUGUGAUUUUUGGAGGUCAUUUGAUCAAGUUUCAGAUUUUUCUUCUCUCCUCAUGAAGGCUGAUGUCUAAGCUGUAGGAAGUUCCGACACUGUGUAGGAAGUUCCG